GAUGAACGCUGGCGGCGUGCUUAACACAUGCAAGUCGAACGAGAAGUGAAGACGGAAACCUUCGGGCGGAAGGCUUUAUUUCGAGUGGCGGACGGGUGAGUAACGCGUGGGUAACCUGCCUCAUACAGGGGGAUAACAGUUGGAAACGACUGUUCAUACCGCAUAAGACCACAGCACCGCAUGGUGCGGGGGUAAAAACUCCGGUGGUAUGAGAUGGACCCGCGUUCGAUUAGCCAGUUGGCGGGGUAACGGCCCACCAAAGCGACGAUCGAUAGCCGAUCUGAGAGGAUGACCGGCCACAUUGGGACUGAGACACGGCCCAAACUCCUACGGGAGGCAGCAGUGGGGAAUAUUGCACAAUGGGGGAAACCCUGAUGCAGCGACGCCGGGUGAGUGAAGAAGUAUUUCGGUAUGUAAAGCGUUAUCAGCAGGGAAGAAAAUGACGGUACCUGAGUAAGAAGCCCCGGCUAACUACGUG
This 478-nucleotide ribosomal RNA is filed under the name uncultured bacterium. Its description in RNAcentral is "partial 16S ribosomal RNA". It matches the Rfam family "Bacterial small subunit ribosomal RNA", at positions 28 to 507 of the family's 1533-position model. The record is from RNAcentral.